UUGAACGCUGGCGGAAUGCUUUACACAUGCAAGUCGAGCGGCAGCGCGGGGCAACCUGGCGGCGAGCGGCGAACGGGUGAGUAAUGCAUCGGAACGUACCCUGUCGUGGGGGAUAACACAGCGAAAGCUGUGCUAAUACCGCAUACGACCUGAGGGUGAAAGCGGGGGAUCGCAAGACCUCGCGCGAUAGGAGCGGCCGAUAUCGGAUUAGCUUGUUGGUGAGGUAAAGGCUCACCAAGGCGACGAUCCGUAGCUGGUCUGAGAGGACGACCAGCCACACUGGAACUGAGACACGGUCGAGACUCCUACGGGAGGCAGCAGUGGGGAAUUUUGGACGAUGGGGGCAACCCUGAUCCAGCCAUUCCGCGUGAGUGAAGAAGGCCUUCGGGUUGUAAAGCUCUUUCAGCAGGAACGAAACGGUGGCUACUAAUACUAGCUACUAAUGACGGUACCUGAAGAAGAAGCACCGGCUAACUACGU
This 480-nucleotide ribosomal RNA is filed under the name uncultured bacterium. RNAcentral describes it as "bacterial SSU rRNA". It matches the Rfam family "Bacterial small subunit ribosomal RNA", at positions 29 to 506 of the family's 1533-position model. The record is from RNAcentral.